AACGAACGCUGGCGGCAUGCCUAACACAUGCAAGUCGAACGAGACCUUCGUGUCUAGUGGCGCUCGGGUGCGUCACGCGUGGGAACCUGCCCUUAGGUUCGGAAUAACUCCCCGAAAGGGGUGCUAAUACCGGAUAAUUUCUUCGGACCAAAGAUUUAUCGCGUUUGGAUGGGCCCGCGUUGGAUUAGCUAGUUGGUAGGGUAAAAGCCUAUCAAGGCGACGAUCCAUAGCUGGUCUGAGAGGAUGAUCAGCCACACUGGGACUGAGACACGGCCCAGACUCCUACGGGAGGCAGCAGUGGGGAAUACAGGACAAUGGGCGAAAGCCUGAUCCAGCAAUGCCGCGUGAGUGAUGAAGGCCUUAGGGAUGUAAAGCUCUUUUACCCGGGAUGAUAAUGACAGUACCGGGAGAAUAAGCGCCGGCUAACUCCGUG
RNAcentral lists this ribosomal RNA (433 nucleotides) under uncultured bacterium. RNAcentral describes it as "partial 16S ribosomal RNA". It matches the Rfam family "Bacterial small subunit ribosomal RNA", at positions 29 to 507 of the family's 1533-position model. The record is from RNAcentral.